AUGCAGGUGACGAGUCCCAAAUAGGGCUAAAUGCGCGUUCUGGAU
Molecule: non-coding RNA, 45 nt
Filed under: Schistosoma mansoni
Lineage: Eukaryota; Metazoa; Platyhelminthes; Trematoda; Strigeidida; Schistosomatidae
Source: RNAcentral